UUUUUUUUUUCUUUUUUCUUUUUUUUGGGGGGAGAGGUGAUUUUCAUUCCCACUGUUCCCUAGUGAGCACCAAAGCUCCCUCACUGCGAUUUCUGAGUGGUGGCAGAAACAACCGGGAAUAAUACCCACCCCAUCCCCAGCCCCAACUGUCCUUCCCCAGAGGCAUGAAACAGGAACAAAAUGGACCGGCCUUGUGGGGUUCAGCGCUAGUUUGCUGCAGGACUAGCGGAUCUAGAGGAGGCCUCUCGUGAAGGGCACAACACAACCUUGAAGGAAAGAAGCCUGGUGAGAACCCACCAACUCCUCCACCACUGCCAGGGGCAGAUGACGCGCUGGGCCCCAGCCCUGCAGAGACUCACUCGGAGGGCAGUGGAGGCGGCAGGCCCUGGGGGCUUGCUUUCCUGGGCUAAUUGCCAAGUCUUGGAUCAUGGGACCUCGUCUCCAGGGGCUCCUGGGCGGCUCAGUCGGUUAGGUGUCUGCCUUUGGCUCAGGUCAUGAUCCUGGGGUCCUGGAAUCGAGCCCCAAGUCAGGUUCCCUGCUUAGUGGGGAGCCUGCUUCUCCCUCUGCCUCUGCCUCUCCCCUACUCGGGUGCUCUCUCUCUCUCUCUCUCUCUCUCUCUCUCAAAUAAAUAAAAGCAGGAGGUGGGGGACCUGAUCUCCAGGGUCAGCUGCCACAUUUACCAGGCCCUCCUGAUCCAAAGAGCUCAUUAGUACAACUCCAGUACAAGCAGAGCUCCCUUACAGUGGCCUGUCUCAACAACUUUCAAGCCAGAAGCCCCAGCCUCAGGGGCUCCUUCCUCCCUCCUCACCAGCCCCUUCCCACGACCCCCUAUGUAACAACUGCAUUCAUUUGCUAUCGGGAACCUACUCUACUUGGCACUGUUCUAGACACUGGAGAUAAGAGCAUGAACCAGCCAUGGCCCCAACUCCUGGGCUCACAGCCCCACGAGGGGGCCCAAUGUAGAACCCACCAGUGACCUCACAGCUGGAGAGCGCUGUGAUGGGGGGCAUGCAGAGCACUGCAAGAGCACAGCAGAGGGCCCGAGGGUUCCUCAGGUGGAGGUGAGGAAAGGCAGAGUGUCUUCCAGGCCAUGAGGAGGGCAUGGACCAGAUCCUGACAGGUGGAACUUAAAGUUCAGGGUGCCAACUGGUUAGCAUUUGGGCUAGGGAGCUGCUGGAGGCAGGAAGUGGCCAGAGCUCGUCAAGCCUCCUAAGUGAUUUUAAAGAGCCUGAAUUUAUCCCAAGAGCAGCACAGAGCCUUCCAAGGCAGUGACCUAAUCAGAUGUGUGACUGAGGAGAAGAGUUGUCUGUAGAUGGGAGACGAAGCAGCCAUCCAGGAGGCCAGUUCCCAAGGAGGCAGGGGCGGGGGGCACUGAAGAGACAGUGAUGAAGGGGCAGGAAGGACUACAUCUGUACACAUCGUAGCACACGGCAAUGAGUCACCACAGGGAAUGGCAGGCAGCCGGGACCAAGCACCCUUGCUGAUAAUUACUGAGCACUUACUGUGUGCUAGCCGCUGGGACAAGCACUAGCUGCAACAUCUCACUUAAUCCUACAACAAUCUGGGAAACACAUAUUGUUCUGAUCGCCACUUUACACGUGCACAUACUGAGGCUCGGAGCAUCUAAUCCCUUGGACUUACCCUAAGUCAAAGGGCCAGCAAGUAAGAGGACCAGAAUGAUUCCGUUUCUGGGCAACCGAGUGGGUGUGGGUGCCAUUGUCCUGAGAGGCAAGCCAGCAGAGGAACAGAUCUGAAGGGGCAAAGAAGAAGUCAGUGACAGGCACGUAGUUUGAGGACCUGGAGCACAUUGAGGGGGCAAUAUCAAUCUGGGGGGCAGCGGACUAUGUGGGUCUGAAACCCAAGGGUGUGAGCUAUGGACACAGGAGACUUUUAUGUUUAGAGACCAGAAGCCACAGGCUUGGAGAAAGAGAUCCUCUGGGGCACACGUGUAGAAGAAGCACGGAGGCCAAGGACGGAACUCUGGGAAACACCAACAGGCCGGAGGUGGGCUGAGCAGGACUGUGUAGGAAAACAGGAGUCAGAGCAGGCCACUGCCACCUUGACUGCAGAAGAAAGAACGAUGACCCGGUCAAAUCCCCGCAUAAUCACGCUAGUGACAGAGACCCUGGCAACACACUGAUGAUUCAGGCCAGCAGAAGAGUUCUUAUCUAUGGAAUGCUUUUAGCACGAUGAACCCUAUCUGUCUAGGACUACUUAUGGUAAACAAACCUGGACCCUGUGGAUUUAUGGGGCACGACUCCCUGGGAAAUGUUGUGUAAGCCAGGUAACUAUCAGAGAAUAAAAUGGAGAUAUGUCAUGGCCAAAUAGCUCCCUUUUUAGCAAGAGAUGCCUUGCACGUAUCACAUAGAGACCUCUUUUGACAAACCCAAGGCAGAGCACUUCCUAAUGUGGCAAGAAAGGCCCUGGGGAGCAGUAUUGGUGGUUCUAGACCUCAUGCUUUACCUGUGUCUCACAAUUAUUUGUAUCCUCGCAAUGAUUAGUAAAGCUUAAUACUAGGUAAGACCUCUGAUUCCUAGGAGCUUGGUUUGACAAUCUGACCCUUUGUAUUUUAUCUCCAGCACAGAAACUUACUAACAUUUGUCAUGAUCUUUCAAAUUUUCUGGGACUGAGCCAGGCUUGAGAAGUGGCUACUUGAUCUUGCUGAUGAGUGAGUAUCUAGAGACAGGAGAGGAGCAACGAAGGGCUUUGUGUGCUGGCCUAAGAUUUUGUUCAAGCAGAAGCAAGAGGACAACAGGCCUGAAUGUAGGGGAGUGGUAAGGUUAGACGGAAGCUCUGAAGAGGCUCCUGGGUGACUGUGCGGAAACCUGAUGGGAGAAAGCAAGCUUGGCCGCAGAGAACCCACGUAGGGGCUCAUCUGGAAAAAAAAAUCAUGGAGCCCUGGACAGCACAGUGGCAGUGGGAAUGAAGAGCAACUGGAGAAUUUGAGACCCAUUUAGGAGUUAAGAAAAUAUAGAACUUAGAAAUUGCUUGGGUCUUUGAUUGGCAGCAGCGAGAAAAGGUGGGAGGGGGGGAGUCAAAGCUUCUCAUUUGGAUAAGUGGGUGGUUAAUGGUGCCAGUGACAGGGAAGGGGAACAUGGGGACAGGCAAGCUGGGAGAAGAUGAGAGAUUCUGCUCUGAACAUUUCAAGUGUCUCUGGCACAGCUUCAUGGAGCUGUCUUGUA
RNAcentral lists this long non-coding RNA (3182 nucleotides) under Canis lupus familiaris (dog). Its description in RNAcentral is "lncRNA (ENSCAFG00845014264.1)". Lineage: Eukaryota; Metazoa; Chordata; Mammalia; Carnivora; Canidae. The record is from RNAcentral.